Molecule: ribosomal RNA, 348 nt
Filed under: uncultured microorganism
Description: bacterial SSU rRNA
Rfam family: Bacterial small subunit ribosomal RNA
Source: RNAcentral
GAGUUUGAUCGUGGCUCAGGAUGAACGCUGGCGGCGUGCCUAAUACAUGCAAGUCGAGCGAACGGACGAGAAGCUUGCUUCUCUGAUGUUAGCGGCGGACGGGUGAGUAACACGUGGAUAACCUACCUAUAAGACUGGGAUAACUUCGGGAAACCGGAGCUAAUACCGGAUGAUAUUUUGAACCGCAUGGUUCAAAAGUGAAAGACGGUCUUGCUGUCACUUAUAGAUGGAUCCGCGCUGCAUUAGCUAGUUGGUAAGGUAACGGCUCACCAAGGCAACGAUGCAUAGCCGACCUGAGAGGGUGAUCGGCCACACUGGAACUGAGACACGGUCCAGACUCCUACGGGA